This 431-nucleotide ribosomal RNA is filed under the name uncultured bacterium. RNAcentral's name for it is "partial 16S ribosomal RNA". It matches the Rfam family "Bacterial small subunit ribosomal RNA", at positions 29 to 507 of the family's 1533-position model. The record is from RNAcentral.
AACGAACGCUGGCGGCAGGCUUAACACAUGCAAGUCGAACGCCCCGCAAGGGGAGUGGCGCACGGGUGAGUAACGCGUGGAUAUCUGCCUUUUGGUUCGGAAUAACCCCGGGAAACUGGGGCUAAUACCGGAUGGUUCCUACGGGAUAAAGAUUUAUCGCCAAAAGAUGAGUCAGCGUACGAUUAGCUAGUUGGUGAGGUAAUGGCUCACCAAGGCGACGAUCGUUAGCUGGUCUGAGAGGACGAUCAGCCACACUGGGACUGAGGCACGGCCCAGACUCCUACGGGAAGCAGCAGUGGGGAAUAUUGGACAAUGGGGGCAACCCUGAUCCAGCCAUGCCGCGUGAGUGAUGGAGGCCUUCGGGUUGUAAAGCUCUUUUGGCGGGGACGAUGAUGACGGUACCCGCAGAAUAAGCCCCGGCUAACUUCGUG